This is a long non-coding RNA of Amphimedon queenslandica, 233 nucleotides long. RefSeq lists it as uncharacterized. The transcript has 3 exons. Lineage: Eukaryota; Metazoa; Porifera; Demospongiae; Haplosclerida; Niphatidae. The record is from RefSeq and is a predicted model, not a curated record.
UUGAUAGAUAUCAGUGUUUUUAUGCUACGUAGAAGUAUGCUAAGUUUUUUAGUUCAUAAAGCACCUGAACAUACAUGUACAUGUACAUGUAUUGUUUAUUUAUAGAAAAAAGCUAAAGCUGGAAAGAGAAGACGGACCAACCCAGAGGUGCCAUUUGCUGCUGCUUUAGAGAAGAUUGUUAAUAAACUGAGUGCUGUCCAAGAGUAUUGGCCUUUUGUAAAAGUUUCCAAUGG